CUAAUAUGAUGAGAAAGCCUUUCAACACCACCUCCACUCUUCUCUAUAGAUAUCACCUUCACAUUCCAAACAUCCAUCACCUUCACAUUUGAAACCUUGAAUACAUUAACAAUGAAACUGAUUGG
Molecule: unclassified non-coding RNA, 125 nt
Filed under: Arabidopsis thaliana (thale cress)
Lineage: Eukaryota; Viridiplantae; Streptophyta; Magnoliopsida; Brassicales; Brassicaceae
Description: small nucleolar RNA R52
Source: RNAcentral